RNAcentral lists this ribosomal RNA (207 nucleotides) under uncultured bacterium. Its description in RNAcentral is "partial 16S ribosomal RNA". It matches the Rfam family "Bacterial small subunit ribosomal RNA", at positions 568 to 774 of the family's 1533-position model. The record is from RNAcentral.
CACGUAGGCGGAUCAGAAAGUCAGAGGUGAAAUCCCAGGGCUCAACCUUGGAACUGCCUUUGAAACUCCUGGUCUUGAGGUCGAGAGAGGUGAGUGGAGUUCCGAGUGUAGAGGUGAAAUUCGUAGAUAUUCGGAGGAACACCAGUGGCGAAGGCGGCUCACUGGCUCGAUACUGACGCUGAGGUGCGAAAGCGUGGGGAGCAAACA